Molecule: ribosomal RNA, 513 nt
Filed under: Veillonella sp. oral clone BP2-49
Lineage: Bacteria; Bacillati; Bacillota; Negativicutes; Veillonellales; Veillonellaceae
Description: bacterial SSU rRNA
Rfam family: Bacterial small subunit ribosomal RNA
Source: RNAcentral
AGAGUUUGAUCCUGGCUCAGGACGAACGCUGGCGGCGUGCUUAACACAUGCAAGUCGAACGAAGAGCGACGGAAGCUUGCUUCUAUCAAUCUUAGUGGCGAACGGGUGAGUAACGCGUAAUCAACCUGCCCUUCAGAGGGGGACAACAGUUGGAAACGACUGCUAAUACCGCAUACGAUCUAAUCUCGGCAUCGAGGAUGGAUGAAAGGUGGCCUCUACAUGUAAGCUAUCACUGAAGGAGGGGAUUGCGUCUGAUUAGCUAGUUGGAGGGGUAACGGCCCACCAAGGCGAUGAUCAGUAGCCGGUCUGAGAGGAUGAACGGCCACAUUGGGACUGAGACACGGCCCAGACUCCUACGGGAGGCAGCAGUGGGGAAUCUUCCGCAAUGGACGAAAGUCUGACGGAGCAACGCCGCGUGAGUGAUGACGGCCUUCGGGUUGUAAAGCUCUGUUAAUCGGGACGAAAGGCCUUCUUGCGAAUAGUGAGAAGGAUUGACGGUACCGAAUAGAAGCC